This 119-nucleotide non-coding RNA is filed under the name Dokdonella koreensis. Its description in RNAcentral is "SAM-I sequence". It matches the Rfam family "SAM riboswitch aptamer (S box leader)". Rfam says of the family: The SAM riboswitch is found upstream of a number of genes which code for proteins involved in methionine or cysteine biosynthesis in Gram-positive bacteria. The SAM riboswitch acts at the level of transcription termination control. The predicted structure consists of a complex stem-loop region followed by a single stem loop terminator region. The record is from RNAcentral. Lineage: Bacteria; Pseudomonadati; Pseudomonadota; Gammaproteobacteria; Lysobacterales; Rhodanobacteraceae. RNAcentral also lists the same sequence under 1 other name.
CACUCAUCGCGACCGGUCGAGACACUGGGUCUGAGACGCCGGGGCAACCGCGACCUAUGUCGCAUGGUGCCAAUUCCAGCGGGGAUGUCCGGCAUGGGCCGGGCCCCGGGAGAUGAGCG